This 766-nucleotide long non-coding RNA is filed under the name Vigna radiata. RNAcentral describes it as "long non-coding RNA (VRAD_LNC017355)". Lineage: Eukaryota; Viridiplantae; Streptophyta; Magnoliopsida; Fabales; Fabaceae. The record is from RNAcentral.
GUUGAGCGUUUUUGUAAUACUAUUAGAUAUUUUUAGGGUCAUUUUGAGUUUUGUUUCAUACUCUUGUUCACCUUUACUAUUUCAAUUCAUUUCUCAGUUUUAUUUUUGUUAAUUAGAACUGUUAAUGUAAUUCUUUGCUUUAGAUUCAAGUAGUUGUAUUCCUAGCUUUGGUUUUUGCAUCUGAGUUCAGUCUAAUAAAGCAAUGUUUUCAUAAAAGAGGGUAGCAAGUCAGUUUUGGCAAAUUUAUUAACCUGGAGAGAUUUUGGGCCAAUUUUUUUCUUUCUAGUGUGAUUUCAUGCAUGUUUGAUUUUCAUUCUGAUUUUGCAUUGAUUNUUUGUAAAAAGCUUGCUCUUGGUGGACUUUAGACAUGAUUUAGGCANUCUUUCUUACCAUCCAUAACCAUUUAGUUUUACCAUUUCAGUUCUGACCAUUGUACCUUAACUUUGAGCCUUAGCCAUUUUCUUUGUUUCCAUUCAUUACAAGCCAUUUUCCCACCAAAUACCUAACCUGUAGAGACAUGUGAGAGGGAUGGAGGAUCUAGGAACUUAGUGAGUGCAACUAGAAAGAUAGGCCAAAAGAAAAAGAAAAAGAAAAAUGAGUUGUUUGUUGUGUGCAAAAGAAAGAACAGGUCUGGAAAAAAAGGAUAAAAAUGCAAAAGAGAGAAAAAUAAAAUGAGACUUGACAGAGUUGAAAACCAGAGAGAAAGAAAAAGAGAUUGGAAUGGCCAAAAAUAUCAAAAACAAUGCACUAAGUUCUAGGAUUUUCC